UACAGAGGGGGCAAGCGUUGUUCGGAAUUACUGGGCGUAAAGGGCGCGUAGGCGGCCUUCUAAGUCGAACGUGAAAUCCCCAGGCUUAACCUGGGAACUGCAUCCGAUACUGGAUGGCUUGAAUCCGGGAGAGGGAUGCAGAAUUCCAGGUGUAGCGGUGAAAUGCGUAGAUAUCUGGAGGAAUACCGGUGGCGAAGGCGGCAUCCUGGACCGGCAUUGACGCUGAUGAGCGAAAGCUAGGGGAGCAAACGGG
This 253-nucleotide ribosomal RNA is filed under the name uncultured bacterium. Its description in RNAcentral is "partial 16S ribosomal RNA". It matches the Rfam family "Bacterial small subunit ribosomal RNA", at positions 524 to 776 of the family's 1533-position model. The record is from RNAcentral.